AACGAACGCUGGCGGCAUGCCUAACACAUGCAAGUCGAACGAGACCUUCGGGUCUAGUGGCGCACGGGUGCGUAACGCGUGGGAACCUGCCCUUAGGUUCGGAAUAACUCCCCGAAAGGGGUGCUAAUACCGGAUAAUGUCUUCGGACCAAAGAUCUAUCGCCUUUGGAUGGGCCCGCGUUGGAUUAGCUAGUUGGUAGGGUAAAAGCCUACCAAGGCGACGAUCCAUAGCUGGUCUGAGAGGAUGAUCAGCCACACUGGGACUGAGACACGGCCCAGACUCCUACGGGAGGCAGCAGUGGGGAAUAUUGGACAAUGGGCGAAAGCCUGAUCCAGCAAUGCCGCGUGAGUGAUGAAGGCCUUAGGGUUGUAAAGCUCUUUUACCCGGGAUGAUAAUGACAGUACCGGGAGAAUAAGCUCCUGCUAACUCCGUG
Molecule: ribosomal RNA, 433 nt
Filed under: uncultured bacterium
Lineage: Bacteria
Description: partial 16S ribosomal RNA
Rfam family: Bacterial small subunit ribosomal RNA
Source: RNAcentral